This 506-nucleotide ribosomal RNA is filed under the name uncultured bacterium. RNAcentral's name for it is "partial 16S ribosomal RNA". It matches the Rfam family "Bacterial small subunit ribosomal RNA", at positions 30 to 523 of the family's 1533-position model. The record is from RNAcentral.
AUUGAACGCUGGCGGCAUGCUUUACACAUGCAAGUCGAACGGCAGCAUGACCAAGCUUGCUUGGUUGAUGGCGAGUGGCGAACGGGUGAGUAAUACAUCGGAACGUGCCCUGUAGUGGGGGAUAACCUACCGAAAGGUAGGCUAAUACCGCAUACGACCUGAGGGUAAAAGGGGGGGACCGCAAGGCCUCACGCAAUAGAAGCGGCCGAUGGAAGAUUAGCUAGUCGGUGAGGGAAGGGCUCACCAAGGCGACGAUCUUUAGCGGGUCUGAGAGGACGAUCCGCCACACUGGGACUGAGACACGGCCCAGACUCCUACGGGAGGCAGCAGUGGGGAAUUUUGGACAAUGGGGGCAACCCUGAUCCAGCAAUGCCGCGUGAGUGAAGAAGGCCUUCGGGUUGUAAAGCUCUUUUGUUUGGGAAGAAAAGUCUGGUGCUAAUACCACUGGAUGCUGACGGUACCAAAAGAAUAAGCACCGGCUAACUACGUGCCAGCCGCCGCCGUAA